Molecule: ribosomal RNA, 305 nt
Filed under: uncultured bacterium
Lineage: Bacteria
Description: bacterial SSU rRNA
Rfam family: Bacterial small subunit ribosomal RNA
Source: RNAcentral
UGGCCUACGGGAGGCAGCAGUGAGGAAUAUUGGUCAAUGGUCGGGAGACUGAACCAGCCAAGCCGCGUGAGGGAUGAAGGUACAGAGUAUCGUAAACCUCUUUUGUCAGGGAACAAAGGCGGGGACGCGUCCCCGGAUGAGUGUACCUGAAGAAAAAGCAUCGGCUAACUCCGUGCCAGCAGCCGCGGUAAUACGGAGGAUGCGAGCGUUAUCCGGAUUUAUUGGGUUUAAAGGGUGCGUAGACGGGUAUACAAGUUAGUAGUGAAAUCCCUCGGCUUAACUGAGGAACUUCUACUAAAACUAUU